UAGCAUGAGUUGAACAGUAGUUAGAAAAUGACAUCGCUCCUAGGAAGAAGACAUUUUCAACUUAUAAAAUUGUUUGAAAGUUCUAUUUUUAAAUACAAACACUUAGAGUUG
This is a non-coding RNA of Caenorhabditis elegans, 111 nucleotides long. The record is from Ensembl. NCBI's taxonomy places the organism in Eukaryota, Metazoa, Nematoda, Chromadorea, Rhabditida, Rhabditidae.